Long non-coding RNA from Poecilia latipinna (sailfin molly), 1311 nucleotides. RefSeq lists it as uncharacterized. The record is from RefSeq and is a predicted model, not a curated record. The transcript has 2 exons. NCBI's taxonomy places the organism in Eukaryota, Metazoa, Chordata, Actinopteri, Cyprinodontiformes, Poeciliidae.
GACAUGGAAAGUCUGAUGUAGCUCUGACCUGGCAUUUGGAAGUUAUUGCACAUUCAUGUUUCAUGGAGAAAAGUCAAAGUUUGACACGUAGCCACGCCCACAUGCUUUGAUGUACGAGAAUUCUUUUGAUAACUUUUCAUCUACAAUGUCUGAACAGUGUGCUGAGUUAGUUUGAAGUCUGUAUCUCAAAAGCUCUAGGAGGAGUUCGAUCAGAUGCGAAGUGUAUGAAAAACAGGAAAUGGCGGGUUUUAUCCAAAAUGGCCGACUUCCUGUUGGGUUUGCACCAUGGGUCCAAGAGACUUUUUUGUACAUCCUGACAAGAUACACAUGUGUACCCAGUUUCAUAUUUCAAGGUUAAAACAUGGCUUGGGGCUGAUCAUUUAAAAAAUUCUAGGGGGCGCUGUAGAGAAAUUAGGCCACGCCCAUCAACGACUGUUAUGUAUUCCUGUUCGGGGAUGGAUAAGGAUGCAUCCUAGUGAGUUUGGUGCAGCUGGACUCAAAAUUGUGGGAUCUAGAGCCAAUCGUAUAGCAAAUGCGUUGCUAUACGAUUGGCUCUAUAGCAAUUGCAUAGCACUUCGCCACGCCGCCACGCCCACCUCCUCCAUCAAAAACAAACGGGGUUGGAAUCCACAACACACCAACAUGGGUCAGAAAGGGACCGUUCAGAGUAAAACAUGACACUUCCUGUUAUCAGGGGGUGUGGCCUAAGUGAUGUCAUCAAUUGACCAUUGGGUAUUGUAGGGGACCCGACGAUGAUCAAUCACUGAAAGUUUGGUGCCUCUCAGAGUUUUUGUGUAAGAGUUAUGACAGUUUCGUGUUUCAUGGCGAAUAGGUUAACUUUGACCCCAGGAAACCCCCCUUUAUCAGGCACGAAAACGCAAACCUUUGAUAACUUUUAAUCAGCCAUGCCAUAUGAACGAUCUGACCGAGUUUGAAGCCGAUCGAUCGAAAUCCCUAGGACAAGUUCGAUCAAAUGCGAACCCUGUAAACGGCCAAAAUCGGGUCAAAAUUGGAACUUCAAUCCAAAAUGGCCGACAUUCUGUGAUACUUGCACUAUGACAUUAAUUGUAAAUUCUGAGUGUCUUGGGGAGCUCUACAAGUGUACCGAAUUUCAAGUCUCUACGAUGAAGUAAGGUAAUAGGAAAGGGUCUUUUGAAAGUUGCUAGGUGGCGCCGUUGAGCUGUUUCCUAUGCGAUUUUUGCAUUGACCUUAAAAUACGUAAAUUUUUCACAGUCUCAAUGCGCCCGCCAAGUUUGGUAAGUUUUUGAAUAUGAUAAAGCCUCCAAAAAGCCAAUUUAUUUUACGGAAGAA